Molecule: RNA transcript, 1889 nt
Organism: Crotalus tigris (Tiger rattlesnake)
Lineage: Eukaryota; Metazoa; Chordata; Lepidosauria; Squamata; Viperidae
Gene: PTGR2
Gene name: prostaglandin reductase 2
Exons: 10
Source: RefSeq, a predicted model, not a curated record
CGCCAACUUCGCCUCUUGCGGUAGGAUUCUGGGAAGGCGUCACUUCCUAGAGUGGUAGAUUCCAAAACCAGCCUUUUGCAAGUCGGUGCCACCUCCUCGCGGUGCCCGGUUCCUCUGUCUCGACCGGUCGCGUGAGAAGGGAAUCUGAUUUUCAUCUGUGCCAGAUUUUUGCUGGAAGGCUGAUGAACAUUCAAAGAGUGGUAUUGCAUUCACGCCCUGGCAUCAAUGGAGUGCCAGUUGCAGAAAACUUCCGUAUGGAAGAAGCCACCCUCUCAGACAAAAUUGCUGAGGGUCAAGUUAAAGUCCGUACACUUUAUUUGUCUGUGGAUCCUUACAUGCGGUGUCGUAUGAAUGAAGAUGCUGGCUCUGACUACCUCCAGGCUUGGAAAUUGUCUGAAGUUACUGAUGGAGGUGGAAUUGGUUGUGUGGAAGAAAGCAGAGAUGUGCAUUUUGCUCCAGGAGACUUUGUGACUUCCUUUACCUGGCCCUGGCAGACCAAAGCCAUUUUAGACGGAAAGCAACUGAAGAAGAUCGAACAACACCUUGUAGAUGGACACCUUUCCUAUUUCUUGGGUGCAGCUGGCUUGACUGGGCUGACGUCUUUGCUGGGAAUCAGAGAGAAAGGACAUGUAUCUCCAGGCUCUAAUCAAACCCUGGUUGUCAGUGGAGCUGCUGGUGCUUGUGGCUCCCUGGCUGGGCAGAUAGGUCUCCUGGAGGGCUGUUCUAAAGUAGUUGGUAUUUGUGGCACAGAUGAAAAAUGCAAGGUUUUGGUCUCGGAAAUGGGUUUUGAUGCUGCAAUCAACUAUAAGAAAGAGAAUGUGGCACAGCAGCUACACAAACUUUGCCCAGAUGGAGUGGAUAUCUACUUUGACAAUGUUGGUGGAGACAUCAGUGAUACAGUAAUAAGACAAAUGAAUUCAAAUAGCCAUAUUAUUUUAUGUGGUCAAAUCUCCCAAUAUAACAAGGACAUGCAGUACCCACCUCCUUUACCUCCAGAGGUAGAAGAAAUAAGGAAAUCACGGAACAUUACUAGAGAAAGAUUCCUGGUUUUGAACUACAUGGAGAAAUAUUCAGCUAGUACUCUGCAGCUUUGUCAGUGGAUAAAAGAAGGAAAAUUGAAGGUAUUAUAAAAAUCAAUAGGUCAAGGAGACCAUCGUGGAAGGCUUAGAAAACAUUGGAGCUGCUUUCGUAUCUAUGAUGACUGGGGGCAACAUUGGAAAACAGAUAGUGCUUGUUUCCAAAUAAAACCAAUUUCUGACCUAUUUUGUGUCUACCAAGAAAGGAAAUAUUUGCAUAGUCUGGUAUGGUCUUAACCUUUGUAUCUCUAUCCCAUUUUGAUGAUUAAUAAAAUCUUUUGAAUUUUAAUUUUUUUCUAAGUUCUUUAAGGACUUUUUCUUCCCUCUCUAGAGUUUCUUUUUCAAUCAAAAUGUGUUUCAUAGUCUUCAGUAACUAAUGAUAAAAUAUUAUUACUGUACCACUGCUGCAGAAAUAUAAACUCUGUAUGUGUAAUACAAAACUAAGGUUAGUUUUAGGUGUUUGAAGGAAUGUUUGCAAGCAAAUUAUCAUGGCUCAUUUGGCCAAUUCGUGAUUUGGUUUUCUUCUGCCUUUGUUAAUAUCUAGAAAGCAAUUUUCUAAUAAUACUAUAGUAGUGUUUCUGAAUUUGAGGAUAAAUGUAAGCCAUAGUUGAACAACUAGGAUUUUGUAACCAACUUCAAAACUUUAAAUUAAGGUUUUUCAAAAAAUAAACCAUGGCUUACUCCCUGGAAGUAAGUAAACCAAUUAGACAAACCAUAUAUUGACUUACGUUUUGGUUAUGUAUAAAUCACACUCUAAUCACUACUGAAAGUAAAACAAUAAUGAGAAUCUAUUAAACUUAUUUGUUAAUGUAA